CUUUGAAGCUGCCUUCCAAUGCGCUGCAAAAAGCGAAGCUACAGGCUUGUAGUACUUAAACAGUCCGACAAAAAGGAACAGGGUAUCAAGAUGCGUGGCUUGAUUGAGCGCACAAUGUAACAAGAUGGUCGAAGAUU
This is a long non-coding RNA of Megachile rotundata (alfalfa leafcutting bee), 137 nucleotides long. NCBI's taxonomy places the organism in Eukaryota, Metazoa, Arthropoda, Insecta, Hymenoptera, Megachilidae. The record is from RefSeq and is a predicted model, not a curated record.